Molecule: long non-coding RNA, 256 nt
Filed under: Callithrix jacchus (white-tufted-ear marmoset)
Lineage: Eukaryota; Metazoa; Chordata; Mammalia; Primates; Cebidae
Description: lncRNA (ENSCJAG00000071515.1)
Source: RNAcentral
AUCAGAGCCAGGAUGGGAUUCAGAGCCAGCACACGUGCUGUGCUGGGGGCAGAGGCAGGAGAGACGAUAAUUCCAACCGUCAUAUCUUGAAGUUCACUGAUCAUGUCUUCUGGCUGCUAGAAUCCACGACUGAUAACCUCUCGUGAACUUCUAAAUUUCAGUGACUAUACUUUUCAGCUCCAGAUUUCAUGCCUGCAGUGUUUCCAGCCUCAGUUCUUAUUUAGGCAAAGCAAAGAACACCCACGUUCAUCCUUCC